Molecule: non-coding RNA, 98 nt
Organism: Acanthosepion pharaonis
Lineage: Eukaryota; Metazoa; Mollusca; Cephalopoda; Sepiida; Sepiidae
Source: the annotation of a GenBank genome assembly
AUUGAAACAUCAGUUCCUGUAUAAACAACAAAGCUAAGCAACAUUGAGCCUGGACAGUACUUAGAUGGGUGACCUUUUGGGAGCAACAGGUGCUGUAA